UACGGAGGAUCCGAGCGUUAUCCGGAUUUAUUGGGUUUAAAGGGUGCGCAGGCGGGGGAUUAAGUCGGCGGUGAAAUUUUGCAGCUCAACUGUAAAAGUGCCAUUGAUACUGGUUUUCUUGAGUGUGGAUGAAGUAGGCGGAAUUUGUGGUGUAGCGGUGAAAUGCAUAGAUAUCACGAGGAACUCCGAUUGCGCAGGCAGCUUACUAAACUACUACUGACGCUCAGGCACGAAGGCGUGGGGAUCAAACAGGAUUAGAUACCCCCCGUAGU
This 272-nucleotide ribosomal RNA is filed under the name uncultured prokaryote. Its description in RNAcentral is "partial 16S ribosomal RNA". It matches the Rfam family "Bacterial small subunit ribosomal RNA", at positions 524 to 794 of the family's 1533-position model. The record is from RNAcentral.